Long non-coding RNA from Triticum aestivum (bread wheat), 3983 nucleotides. RefSeq lists it as uncharacterized. NCBI's taxonomy places the organism in Eukaryota, Viridiplantae, Streptophyta, Magnoliopsida, Poales, Poaceae. The record is from RefSeq and is a predicted model, not a curated record. The transcript is spliced from 3 exons.
AGAAGAACUCGCUACCGGUAAAGCACCUUUGUGGCCCACCCAAGAAUCAGAUCUAGGAUGGCGUGCUGUGAUGGCUGAAUCCACCUCCCGGUGAGCUGGAAUUGGUCCUACUAGCCAGAUGGCAACUAAGGCUUCCGAUAAAGAACGUGCUCCUCCUUGCUAGAUCCCCCACCUUUGUCAUGUCUGUCCUUCUCCACCACCAGAUCCAUCGAGGUCCGGGCAACAUUAAGCACCUCCUCCUUGGAUCAGAUAAUUCAAGUCAUCGUCAUCACUCGCUCUGGUAGCGAAAGAGUUGGGAGUGGCAGGCGCCAUGGAUGGAGGCUCUGGUGCUAUUGGCCUAGACAGGGGCUUUGUUUGCCAUCGACGUCUACCGAUGUGCCGUCCGUUUGACGUUUCAAGCAUUGUUCACCGUCGGAGUCCGCCGACGUGUUGUUCUUUCAUCGUUCCUACCAAGGUUCAUGUUCGCAUGCUUAUUUUUCUUCAUGUUAGCCGUUCUCAUCUAAUCACAUAUCACCAGAACUUUUCCUUUUUGCGGUGUCUGUACUUGUUUCUGUUACUUGGCUAUUGUUCGAGGUAAGUUCUUUCCUACGAUGCUCCUGCUGCCUUCUCUUUCUUUCUGCAGGGUUUGUUAUGUCUGGUUUGCUUUCUGCCUCUUCUCGUCACUUGUCAUCUUUUUUCUUUCCUUGUCUUGGUUUUAGGUCCUUUUAGCAGUUGGUGUUUGUCCAUUGUGCAUCUUCUUGUUUCGGCGUUCUUAUGUACUUUUGUUUUGGUUGGGUGUUGGCUAUUUGCAUGUAUUUCUUCUUGUUCUUGUUGUUCAUGUUUUUGACAAGCUCGUUCUAUAUGCACUGUGCCGGGGUUAUUGUUUAGUGCCCUUUUUUGCAUUGCUUGUUCUUUGCAUGAACGGAUGGUAUUAAAUAACUUUCAAGUUUGUGGUCAAGGCCCCUGCCUUCUCAGAAUCUUCAUUCAAGAGUGAUUGAAGAGGUUUUGAAGAAAUUAUCCAGGCCGAGGAAUACCAAACACGACUUCGUAAACGCCAUCAUGGCUCUUUUUGGAUGGCACGACAAGCCGACAGAGGAUUUAGGGCACGCAAGUGCGGGGGCAUGCACUUUGUGGGCCGUUGAUCUGCGCCAAGAUUCGCACAUAUGUUUGUGUAUAUACUCUUUUUGUGUUGUAUAACACUUCAUAUAUGUCUCUAAUGUUAUGUAUAAACCAUAUCUCUGUUUUUCCGUGAGCCAGAUAACUGUUCGUGUGGGGUAUAUACGGUAAGUCAAUCUGCACAUAUACAAGUCCCAAUGAGAGCGAUCCAUUCAGAGUACAGAUAGCUAACUCUUCUUCCUCUGUUCUUCUUCGUUGCUAUCUCUCUCUUUCUAGUUCACUCUCAUCUUACAGGAAAUAGAAAGUAAAAUUGGUUAUUACCUGAAUCUGCUGAAAUAGAUACGCCGUUGAUCUGCGCCAAGAUUCGUACAUAUGUUUGUGUAUAUACUCUUUUUGUGUUGUAUAACACUUCAUAUAUGUCUCUAAUGUUAUGUAUAAACCAUAUCUCUGUUUUUCCGUGAGCCAGAUAACUGUUCGUGUGGGGUAUAUACGGUAAGUCAAUCUGCACAUAUACAAGUCCCAAUGAGAGCGAUCCAUUCAGAGUACAGAUAGCUAGCUCUUCUUCCUCUAUUCUUCUUCGUUGCUAUCUCUCUCUUUCUAGUUCACUCUCAUCUUACAAGAAAUAGAAAGUAAAAUUGGUUAUUACCUGAAUCUUUUGAAAUAGAUACAAAUUAUCAGCAAUACAAGUGGAGUUCUAUCGGAAAGUUGGUCUUAAAGGUUAGUUAUAUUUGCAUAUUUCUUCUUGAUAACUUUUUGUUGUUGUACCACAGUUGAAAUCUAUAAUAUUUCAUCGAAUGUCCUCGUUGUUUUUGUGUUUUGCAAACUGAUGAUCCAAUUCGUUUGUUUGGUUUCUUCAAUCGAUGUAUUGGAUACAUUAACUAUGUUUUCUCUCAAAUACUAUCAUUUUAAAAACUUCGAUGGAAAUAGUACGGUUAGCAGCGAUACAAUGUAUAUAUGAAAUUUUUUUGGGUUCAGUUAUUGAGGAUGAAACUUAAUCUAUUUAACUUUUAUUUAUUAUAUUUGUUUUACUGCAUGAGUCCUAAAAUAUAUUGACUGUAUUAACUUGAAAUCCUACAUAAUUGUGUUUGCUGAGACAUGCUACGAUUCCGAUUGUUACAUGGGGCAUAUUAUGGUUGCAUAUGCUGUGAUGUAUGUAAUGUACAUAACAAAGCAUGUUCUUAAGUUACAGGGAACAAAACGUAAUCGAUUCAAGUUCUAGUUAGUUGAUUUUUUCACUUCAUUACCACUAAAACAUGUUUCGUGUAUGUGACAUGCUACAGUUAGUAGCGCUAUGUUUAUAUAUGUAAGAAUUUUGGAUUAAGUUACAUUCGUCAUACUUAAUUUUGUUGUCUUAAGUUAAAAGUUCACAUGGAUGAAACUUAAUAUAUUAAGCUUGCGAUUUAAUAAUCUGUUUUAGUGCAUAAAAAAUAGAAUAUUGCGAUUUAAUAAUCUAUAUCAGUGCAUACCAAGUAGAAUAUGAUGCUCUUGCUAUCAAGUUAUUAGGUUAGAAACUUAAUCGAUUCGAGUAAUACAAGUGUGUAAGCAUCAUUAUAUCACGUGUGAAACAUUGAAAGUUAUUGUUAUGCCCAUCUGUUGUACUUCAGUGAGGUAAUAAACAUAAAGAUUUAUUUAUGUAUUGUAAGCAACGUAUUAAAUAGUAAUAAUUAACUUAGUAAUUAUUCUAAAAACUAUCAGUGAUGUUAGUGUUAAUAAGCUAUGUCAGUUGUGUUUAAGACAACUUACUAAGUGAAUUCAUGUUUUCAUCUUACAUUUUAUUAGGUUGUUCAAAGGACAUGUCAUCUGGAUACAGUGAUGUUGGGAAAAGAGAAAUUUCUGUUGCAGCAACCAAAUAUCCGAAUUGUGUUUUAAAGUCUAAAUUUCUAUCCCACCACGUCCUUCAAUUGAUGUUCAAAUAGCAUCCGAGGUAAAAAGUAUUUAUCAACAUAACUUAUAUGCAGUCUUCGGCAAUGAUGUUAUUGACAAGUUUUUUCGUAUCAGAUGAAUUAUCUAUAUGGAACUAACUAGAAAAUGAAAAUAUAGUGCAUGCUAAUAUAUUCCAAAAAUUCUGAUCAUAAUGCUAAUCCAGUACUUAUGUUCAACAUAUCAGAAGAUAAAUAAAUUAUUAUUUUGAAGUGUUGUCAGAGUUAUAAUGAUUAACUAUUUUGUUAUUUAACAUUGCUUCUAUACUCACUAAACAUCGUAGUACAAGUAGUUGACCAGUACUUCUAUUGUAGUUCAUAAAGUAGUGAAUAAGUAUGUGCUUCAUACUUCAGUCAUGUCAAGUCGUAUUGAAGAUAAUCGGGAGAAAUUUGCGUUACAUACAUGAAGUAAAUUGUCAUCAGAAAGGGACUGAAAGUAAUGGACAACACACCAUCGAUUUUGGACAUUUUAUCAAUAUUCAAGUUAUAUGAAAAGAAGUUAAAUGUGUUCUAUUUCAAUCAAAUAUUUUAAAUGUUUCCUCAUGGUUGGAUCUGCCAUCAGAAAAAUUGUUCCGGUUUCUUGAGGAACUGAUAUUAAAGACAAGUAAAGAACAACUUGACAGGUAUGAAUAGCUAAAGGUACUCUUGUAUCUUUUUAUGGGAAAUAUUUUCAGACUAACAUUUACUAUUUAAAUUUGUUUUAGUGCAUGGAUAAAAGAUUAUAUUCCCGCUAUAUAAAUAUCACUGGAAGAAGUAUUGCAGAGCAACUGAUUAGCAGACAAUGUAUGGAUCACGAGGUUUAUAAUAUAUGUGUUCAAAGGCUUAAUCAGUUGGAUGAUGAGCAUCCAAAACAUGGUGAUUUAUGACAAAGUAGGAUAUUUCCUAAACCAGAGUUUGUUGUAAGCAUCUUUUCUGCAUUCUUAUUUUAUAUAACAAGAUAACUGUUGGAAAUAUGCCCUAGAGGCAAUA